AGGCGUUUAGAUCAGCUGGUUCAGAACAUCUGCCUUACAAGCAGAGGGGUUGGCGGUUCGAAUCCGUCAACGCCCA
RNAcentral lists this transfer RNA (76 nucleotides) under Bacteroidetes bacterium ADurb.Bin302. RNAcentral describes it as "tRNA-Val". It matches the Rfam family "tRNA". Rfam says of the family: Transfer RNA (tRNA) molecules are approximately 80 nucleotides in length. Their secondary structure includes four short double-helical elements and three loops (D, anti-codon, and T loops). Lineage: Bacteria; Pseudomonadati; Bacteroidota. The record is from RNAcentral.